AACGAACGCUGGCGGCAUGCCUAACACAUGCAAGUCGAACGAGACCUUCGGGUCUAGUGGCGCACGGGUGCGUAACGCGUGGGAAUCUGCCCUUGGGUUCGGGAUAACAGUUGGAAACGACUGCUAAUACCGGAUGAUGACUUCGGUCCAAAGAUUUAUCGCCCAGGGAUGAGCCCGCGUAGGAUUAGCUAGUUGGUGAGGUAAAGGCUCACCAAGGCGACGAUCCUUAGCUGGUCUGAGAGGAUGAUCAGCCACACUGGGACUGAGACACGGCCCAGACUCCUACGGGAGGCAGCAGUGGGGAAUAUUGGACAAUGGGCGAAAGCCUGAUCCAGCAAUGCCGCGUGAGUGAUGAAGGCCUUAGGGUUGUAAAGCUCUUUUACCCGGGAAGAUAAUGACUUAC
Molecule: ribosomal RNA, 403 nt
Filed under: uncultured bacterium
Lineage: Bacteria
Description: bacterial SSU rRNA
Rfam family: Bacterial small subunit ribosomal RNA
Source: RNAcentral